CGCGUAGGCGGCUUGGUAAGUCAGAUGUGAAAGCCCACGGCUUAACCGUGGAAGUGCAUUUGAAACUGCCAGACUUGAGUACCAGAGGGGAAAGUGGAAUUCCCGGUGUAGAGGUGAAAUUCGUAGAUAUCGGGAGGAAUACCGGUGGCGAAGGCGACUUUCUGGCUGAGUACUGACGCUGAGGCGCGAAAGCGUGGGGAGCAAACA
This 207-nucleotide ribosomal RNA is filed under the name uncultured bacterium. Its description in RNAcentral is "partial 16S ribosomal RNA". It matches the Rfam family "Bacterial small subunit ribosomal RNA", at positions 568 to 774 of the family's 1533-position model. The record is from RNAcentral.